Molecule: ribosomal RNA, 324 nt
Filed under: uncultured eukaryote
Lineage: Eukaryota
Description: partial 18S ribosomal RNA
Rfam family: Eukaryotic small subunit ribosomal RNA
Source: RNAcentral
CCCUUAGAUGUUCUGGGCUGCACGCGAGCUACACUGAAGCUAUCAACACGUUUUCCCUCCCUGAGAAGGGCGGGUAACCUUUUGAAUCAGCUUCGUGGUAGGGAUCGGGGCUUGCAAUUGUUCCCCGUGAACCAGGAAUUCCUAGUAGACGCGAGUCAUAAGCUCGCAUCGAUUAAGUCCCUGCCCUUUGUACACACCGCCCGUCGCUACUACCGAUUGAACGUUUUAGUGAGGCAUUUGGACCGACGCAUCUCAGUUUAACCGCUGGUUUGUGUUGGAAAGACUUCCAAACUUGAGCGUUUAGAGGAAGUAAAAGUCGUAACA